UCUGAUUAGCUUGUUGGCGGGGUAACGGCCCACCAAGGCAACGAUCAGUAGGGGUUCUGAGAGGAAGGUCCCCCACAUUGGAACUGAGACACGGUCCAAACUCCUACGGGAGGCAGCAGUGAGGAAUAUUGGUCAAUGGGCGAGAGCCUGAACCAGCCAAGUAGCGUGCAGGAAGACGGCCCUAUGGGUUGUAAACUGCUUUUAUAAGGGAAUAAAGUUAGUCUCGUGAGACUUUUUGCAUGUACCUUAUGAAUAAGGACCGGCUAAUUCCGUGCCAGCAGCCGCGGUAAUACGGAAGGUCCGGGCGUUAUCCGGAUUUAUUGGGUUUAAAGGGAGCGUAGGCCGGAGAUUAAGCGUGUUGUGAAAUGUAGACGCUCAACGUCUGCACUGCAGCGCGAACUGGUUUCCUUGAGUACGCACAAAGUGGGCGGAAUUCGUGGUGUAGCGGUGAAAUGCUUAGAUAUCACGAAGAACUCCGAUUGCGAAGGCAGCUCACUGGAGCGCAACUGACGCUGAAGCUCGAAAGUGCGGGUAUCGAACAGGAUUAGAUACCCUGGUAGUCCGCACGGUAAACGAUGGAUGCCCGCUGUUGGUCUGAACAGGUCAGCGGCCAAGCGAAAGCAUUAAGCAUCCCACCUGGGGAGUACGCCGGCAACGGUGAAACUCAAAGGAAUUGACGGGGGCCCGCACAAGCGGAGGAACAUGUGGUUUAAUUCGAUGAUACGCGAGGAACCUUACCCGGGCUUGAAUUGCAGAGGAAGGAUUUGGAGACAAUGACGCCCUUCGGGGUCUCUGUGAAGGUGCUGCAUGGUUGUCGUCAGCUCGUGCCGUGAGGUGUCGGCUUAAGUGCCAUAACGAGCGCAACCCCUCUCCUUAGUUGCCAUCAGGUUAAGCUGGGCACUCUGGGGACACUGCCACCGUAAGGUGUGAGGAAGGUGGGGAUGACGUCAAAUCAGCACGGCCCUUACGUCCGGGGCUACACACGUGUUACAAUGGCAGGUACAGAGAGACGGUUGUACGUAAGUACGAUCAAAUCCUUAAAGCCUGUCUCAGUUCGGACUGGGGUCUGCAACCCGACCCCACGAAGCUGGAUUCGCUAGUAAUCGCGCAUCAGCCAUGGCGCGGUGAAUACGUUCCCGGGCCUUGUACACACCGCCCGUCAAGCCAUGAAAGCCGGGGGCGCCUAAAGUCCGUGACCGUAAGGAGCGGCCUAGGGCGAAACUGGUAAUUGGGGCUAAGUCGUAACAAGGUA
RNAcentral lists this ribosomal RNA (1252 nucleotides) under metagenome. RNAcentral's name for it is "bacterial SSU rRNA". It matches the Rfam family "Bacterial small subunit ribosomal RNA", at positions 236 to 1498 of the family's 1533-position model. The record is from RNAcentral.